Bufo bufo (common toad) is the source of this 125-nucleotide long non-coding RNA. RefSeq lists it as uncharacterized. NCBI's taxonomy places the organism in Eukaryota, Metazoa, Chordata, Amphibia, Anura, Bufonidae. The transcript has 3 exons. The record is from RefSeq and is a predicted model, not a curated record.
AGAUCCACCAUAACAGUACGCCUGCGCACUGAGGAGAAACAGAAAGGAGGGCAAAGAAUCCGUGGAAGCAAGCAGAGGACGGCACAGCAGACGACUGAAUAGCUUCUUUUCGUGGGGCAAAUGGC